ACGUAGGGGGCGAGCGUUAUUCGGAAUUACUGGGUGUAAAGGGUAUGUAGGCGGCCCUUCAAGUCGCGUGUCAAAGUCCAGUGCUCAACGCUGGGUGUGCGCGCGAUACUGACGGGCUUGAGGGCUGGAGAGGUGAGCGGAAUUCCCGGUGUAGUGGUAAAAUACGUAGAUAUCGGGAGAAACAACAACGGCGCAGGCGGCACACUAGACUGUUUCUGACGCUAGGAUUCGAAAGUGUGGGGACCAACCAG
This 251-nucleotide ribosomal RNA is filed under the name uncultured prokaryote. RNAcentral's name for it is "partial 16S rRNA". It matches the Rfam family "Bacterial small subunit ribosomal RNA", at positions 525 to 775 of the family's 1533-position model. The record is from RNAcentral.